UGGGGAAUAUUGGGCAAUGGAGGCAACUCUGACCCAGCAACGCCGCGUGAAUGAUGAAGGUCUUCGGAUUGUAAAGUUCUGUGACGGGGGACGAACACAAUGACGGUACCCCGAUAGCAAGCCACGGCUAACUACGUGCCAGCAGCCGCGGUAAUACGUAGGUGGCAAGCGUUAUCCGGAAUGACUGGGCGUAAAGGGUGCGUAGGUGGCUUAGCAAGUUGGUAGCGUAAUUCCGGGGCUUAACCUCGGCGCUACUACCAAAACUGUUGAGCUCGAGUGCAGGAGGGGUAAGUGGAAUUCCUAGUGUAGCGGUGGAAUGCGUAGAUAUUAGGAGGAACAUCGGUGGCGAAGGCGACUUACUGGACUGUAACUGACACUGAGGCACGAAAGCGUGGGGAGCAAACAGG
This 407-nucleotide ribosomal RNA is filed under the name uncultured bacterium. Its description in RNAcentral is "bacterial SSU rRNA". It matches the Rfam family "Bacterial small subunit ribosomal RNA", at positions 355 to 776 of the family's 1533-position model. The record is from RNAcentral.